UGGUAUUCGAAGCACCCAUUGCCACAAUUC
This 30-nucleotide non-coding RNA is filed under the name Rattus norvegicus (Norway rat). Lineage: Eukaryota; Metazoa; Chordata; Mammalia; Rodentia; Muridae. The record is from RNAcentral.